GGGGGAUUUUCCGCAAUGGGCGAAAGCCUGACGGAGCAAUACCGCGUGAGGGAGGAAGGCUCUUGGGUCGUAAACCUCUUUUAUCAGGGAAGAACACAAUGACGGUACCUGAUGAAUCAGCAUCGACUAACUCCGUGCCAGCAGCCGCGGUAAUACGGAGGAUGCAAGCGUUAUCCGGAAUUAUUGGGCGUAAAGCGUCCGCAGGUGGUUUUGAAAGUUUGCUGUCAAAGCGCGAGGCUCAACUUCGUAUCGGCGGUGAAAACUUCAAGACUAGAGCUAGGUAGGGGUCACGGGAAUUCCCAGUGUAGCGGUGAAAUGCGUAGAUAUUGGGAAGAACACCAGCGGCGAAAGCGCGUGACUGGGCCUGAGCUGACACUCAUGGACGAAAGCUAGGGGAGCGAAAGGGAUUAGAUACCCCUGUAGUCCUAGCCGUAAACGAUGACAACUAGGUGUUGCCCGUAUCGACCCGGGCAGUGCCGUAGCCAACGCGUUAAGUUGUCCGCCUGGGGAGUACGCACGCAAGUGUGAAACUCAAAGGAAUUGACGGGGGCCCGCACAAGCGGUGGAGUAUGUGGUUUAAUUCGAUGCAACGCGAAGAACCUUACCAAGGCUUGACAUGUCGCGAAUCUUCUUGAAAGGGAAGAGUGCCUUCGGGAGCGCGAACACAGGUGGUGCAUGGCUGUCGUCAGCUCGUGUCGUGAGAUGUUGGGUUAAGUCCCGCAACGAGCGCAACCCUCGUCUCUAGUUGCCAUCAUUAAGUUGGGCACUUUAGAGAGACUGCCGGUGACAAACCGGAGGAAGGUGGGGAUGACGUCAAGUCAGCAUGCCCCUUACGCCUUGGGCUACACACGUACUACAAUGCUACGGACAAAGAGCCGCAAGUUCGCGAGGACAAGCAAAUCUCAUAAACCGUGGCUCAGUUCAGAUUGCAGGCUGCAACUCGCCUGCAUGAAGGCGGAAUCGCUAGUAAUCGCAGGUCAGCAUACUGCGGUGAAUACGUUCCCGGGCCUUGUACACACCGCCCGUCACACCAUGGGAGUUGGCCACGCCCGAAGUCGUUACUCCAACCGUUCGCGGAGGAGGAUGCCGAAGGCAGGGCUGAUGACUGGGGUGAAGUCGUAACAAGGUAGCCGUACCGGAAGGUGUGGCUGGAUCACCUCCU
Molecule: ribosomal RNA, 1162 nt
Filed under: Phormidesmis sp. WJT36-NPBG28
Lineage: Bacteria; Bacillati; Cyanobacteriota; Cyanophyceae; Leptolyngbyales; Leptolyngbyaceae
Description: bacterial SSU rRNA
Rfam family: Bacterial small subunit ribosomal RNA
Source: RNAcentral